ACGGAGGGUGCAAGCGUUAUUCGGAAUUACUGGGCGUAAAGCGCGUGUAGGCGGUCCUGCAAGUCUGAUGUGAAAGCCCCGGGCUUAACCCGGGAAGUGCAUUGGAAACUGCAGGUCUUGAGUACUGGAGAGGAUGGGGGAAUUCCCGGUGUAGAGGUGAAAUGCGUAGAGAUCUGGAGGAACAUCAGUGGCGAAGGCGACCAUCUGGUCGGUAACUGACGCUGAGACGCGAAAGCGUGGGGAGCAAACAG
This 251-nucleotide ribosomal RNA is filed under the name uncultured prokaryote. RNAcentral describes it as "partial 16S rRNA". It matches the Rfam family "Bacterial small subunit ribosomal RNA", at positions 525 to 775 of the family's 1533-position model. The record is from RNAcentral.